CCUACGGGAGGCUGCAGUGGGGAAUAUUGGACAAUGGGCGAAAGCCUGAUCCAGCCAUGCCGCGUGUGUGAAGAAGGCCUUCGGGUUGUAAAGCACUUUCAGUGGGGAAGAAAGCCUUGGGGCUAAUACCCUCGAGGAAGGACAUCACCCACAGAAGAAGCACCGGCUAACUCCGUGCCAGCAGCCGCGGUAAUACGGAGGGUGCGAGCGUUAAUCGGAAUUACUGGGCGUAAAGCGCGCGUAGGCGGUCUGAUAAGCCGGUUGUGAAAGCCCCGGGCUCAACCUGGGAACGGCAUCCGGAACUGUCAGGCUAGAGUGCAGGAGAGGAAGGAAGAAUUCCCGGUGUAGCGGUGAAAUGCGUAGAGAUCGGGAGGAAUACCAGUGGCGAAGGCGGCCUUCUGGACUGACACUGACGCUGAGGUGCGAAAGCGUGGGUAGCAAACAGGAUUAGAUACCCCUGUAGUC
This 465-nucleotide ribosomal RNA is filed under the name Vreelandella stevensii. RNAcentral describes it as "partial 16S ribosomal RNA". It matches the Rfam family "Bacterial small subunit ribosomal RNA", at positions 338 to 795 of the family's 1533-position model. The record is from RNAcentral. Lineage: Bacteria; Pseudomonadati; Pseudomonadota; Gammaproteobacteria; Oceanospirillales; Halomonadaceae.